Molecule: ribosomal RNA, 275 nt
Filed under: uncultured bacterium
Lineage: Bacteria
Description: partial 16S ribosomal RNA
Rfam family: Bacterial small subunit ribosomal RNA
Source: RNAcentral
AUACGGAGGGUGCAAGCGUUAUCCGGAAUUAUUGGGUUUAAAGGGUCCGUAGGCGGCUAGAUAAGUCAGUGGUGAAAUUCUCUCGCUCAACGAGAGACCUGCCAUUGAUACUGUCUUGGCUAGAGUUACAGUGAGGUGAGUGGAAUGUGUAGUGUAGCGGUGAAAUGCAUAGAUAUUACACAGAACACCGAUUGCGAAGGCAGCUCACUAACUGUAUACUGACGCUGAUGGACGAAAGCGUGGGGAGCAAACAGGAUUAGAAACCCCGGUAGUCC